CUCGGGUGAACCCGCGUCCGCCUCGGAGUAUGUACAUCAGAUUGUCUACAAACGUGCUGCAUCUCAGAAUCAGGUUUAUUAUCACCGGCAUGUGUCGUGAAGCAGCCGUUCAAUGCAGUACAUAACAUAGAAGAACAAAUAAUAAUUAAAUAUAUAAAAAGUGAAAGAGAGUUAACAGUGGAUGUCAACAAGUGUGGAUCACUGGAAAAUAAUGCUGAAGAGGUGGUAAUAUGGGACAAAAAAUGGCGGAAGGACUCCAAGUAUUUUACUUCACUGUGGAAGAUUCCAAGAGUAUGCCAGAAAUUUGAGAGUGACGGGACAGAAGUAAGUGUAGUUGCUUCCAGGAGAAGGUGCUUGAGAAGCUGAAAGGUCUUAAGAAUUUUCUGGUGACUUGAUUGUUUCCGCCUUGACUUCAGACAAUGCAGGUGAACUUGCAUUUGAUAGAAUUGAAAAGUCAGCUGGUCCACCACGUGCAGGAGGUAACUCAAUCCCCAGCUG
Mobula hypostoma (lesser devil ray) is the source of this 498-nucleotide long non-coding RNA. RefSeq lists it as uncharacterized. The record is from RefSeq and is a predicted model, not a curated record. The transcript is spliced from 3 exons. Lineage: Eukaryota; Metazoa; Chordata; Chondrichthyes; Myliobatiformes; Myliobatidae.